Long non-coding RNA from Equus caballus (horse), 2630 nucleotides. NCBI's taxonomy places the organism in Eukaryota, Metazoa, Chordata, Mammalia, Perissodactyla, Equidae. The record is from Ensembl.
UUCUAGAAAAUACAUCUUAGCAAAAUUGACCCUAGUAGAGAUAGAAAGUUUAAAAGAUCAAUUUCCAUAGAAGAAAUACAGCUAUUAAAUAGUUAAUCCCAAAAAAGCAGUAAGCCCAGAAGGUUUUAUAGGGGAAUUUUAAUAGGCCAUCAAAGACUAGAUGAUUUUAAUGCUAUUAGAACCGUUCCAGAGAUAGAAAAAGAAGGAAAAAUUCCAUGAUCUUUUAAAGAAGUGAAUAUAUCAUUGAUUUGCAAACCAAAUAAACACAGCACACACAUACACAAAAGAAAACUAUAGACUAAUCUCACUUAUGAAUAUUGAAGCAAAAAUCCUAAGUAAAAUAUUAGCAAAUAGAAUUGAACACCACAUUCAAAUAUAAUGCAUCAUGAUCCAGAGGUGUUAUUCCAGGAAGGGGCAACGUGUCGCUGAAUGUCUAGAAAGAGACCCAAACACAUACAAGAAGUUGGCACAGGAAAGUGACGUAUCGAGUUAGUGGAGAGAAGGAGACUACUCAGUAAGGUGGAGAAACACUCAAAAGGCUUGUGAAAAGUGAACUGCGUCACUACGUAUACUUUAAAACAAAAUAAAUUCUAUAAAUGUUACAGGUAAAAAAUGAAACCAUAAAUGCAUUGGAAGUAAACAAAUAAUUAUUUUUACAAUUCCAAGUGGGGACGGCCUCUAUAAGUAUGACACAAAAUUUGGAAGACCUGAAAGAAAAUAGUAAUAAAUUUGACUACAAAAAAAUAAAAUUUUCUUCAUGGCAAAAAAAAAAAAAAGCCAUAAGAUCAAAAAGGGAAUGAAAAACUUGGAAAAAUAUUUGCCAAAAAUGGGACAAACAGCUAAUUUUUUGAUUAAAUACAGAGCUCCUAAAGAAGACAACAAUAAGAAAAAGAACACCACCCACAGAAAAAUGGGUAAAGGAUAUGAACACUUUACAGAAAAGAAAAUUUAGCUAACUUAAUGAAGUGAAUAUAACAUUAAAUUGUUGAAUCUGAUAUUGAUAUUAAAUGAAGAAAAGAUGCUUAGCAUGUUCAUAAUAAUGAAAAUGCAAAUUAAAACCACAAUGAGAUAUAAUUUUCCAACUACCAGAUUGACGCGAUCAGAAAUUCGUAAUAGACGGGUGAGCAGGGCUGUGGGAAACAGGCACACUCACACACUGCUGGUGGAGGGCGAUUGCCCACAAAUGCUGUGGAGACCAUUUGGCAAUUUAUACCAAAAUGACAAGUACACAUCUUUUAGUCUAACAAUUCCACCUCUAAGAAUUUAUCCCAAAGAUGUAUUUGUAAAUGUAAGAAAUGACGGAUGGACAAAAGUUACUUAUUUCAGCAUUCUCUAAAAAAGCAAAAAUUGGAAACACCUUCAGUAUCCAGUAGGGAGCUCGUCAGUCGUGACAUUGAGUACCAUGCCACCAUUUAAAAGAGGGAGUCAACCUUAGUUGUGCUCAUAUGGAAUAAUCUCCAAGACAUAUUUUAGUCUCUUUUUUGGCUUAAAACAACAGAAAUGUCUUCUCUCAGUUCUGGCGGCUGGAAGCCUGAAACCAAGGUCACAGUCCUCCUGAGGGUUCUGCGGGCGGAUCUGCUCCAUGCCUGUCUCCCUGGCUUCUGGGGGUUGCUGGUAACGCCUUGGCAUUCCUUGGCUCGUCGACCCAUCACUCUGAGCUGCCUCUUAUCUUCAUGAGGCGUUCUCCUCUCUGUGUCUGCGUCUCUAAGAUACUUUUUACUGUGUUUCCAUUUGAACACUUUUGACAGCUGCGUUGAGACACAUUUCAUAUACCGUAAAAUUCAUCCAUUUAAAGUGUACAGUUCAGUGAUUUUUAAUAUAUUCACAGAGUUCUGCAACCUGCACCAAAAUCAAGUUUUAGAACAUUUUCAACACUUCAAAAAGAAAACACACACACAUAGUAGUCGCUCUCCCAGCUUCCCCAGCCCUGCCCCAGGUAACGCUAAUCUGCUUUCUGUUUCUAUGGAUUUGCGUAUUCUCUACAUUUUAUAUUAAUGGGAUCAUAGAAUAUGUGAUUUUGUGACUUGCUUCUUUCACUCAGCAUAAUAUUUUCAAGUUUCAUCCACAUUGUAGCAUGCAUCAGUAUUUCUUUUUUAUUGCUGAAUGAUAUUCUGUUGUAUGACUAUACCACAUUUUGUUUAUCCAUUCAUCAGUUGAUAGACUUUUAGGUUUUUUUUCCACUUUGGAGCUAUUUUGAAUAAUGCUGCUAUGAACAUUUGUGUACAAGUUUUUGUGUGGGUGUAUGUUUUCAUUACUCUUGGGUACACAUCCAGGCGUGGAAUUUCUAGGUUAUAUGGUAACUCUAUGUUUUAACUUUUUGAGGAACUGUCAGACAGUUUUCCAGAAUGGCUGCACCACUUUCCAUUUACGCAUUUUGAAUUUUGGACCAUGUGCUAGUAUUACCUAUUCAAAACUAUUAAUGAAAUACUUUUUAAUAAUAAAUUAGAGCUAUACCCACUGACUUGGAGAGAUUUCCAUUAUGUAUUAUGAAGGAUCUUAAGCAAGAAACCAUAAAGUAAGAGAAAUAUAUAUAUGAUUAUACUUUUAUAAAUUGAAAACCAAAAUAUUUGUGUGUGCAUGCAUAUGCAACUUGUAUCAGUGAUAAAUGCUUUUUGAUGACAAUAAACCAG